Acanthochromis polyacanthus (spiny chromis) is the source of this 949-nucleotide long non-coding RNA. RefSeq lists it as uncharacterized. The transcript has 3 exons. The record is from RefSeq and is a predicted model, not a curated record. NCBI's taxonomy places the organism in Eukaryota, Metazoa, Chordata, Actinopteri, Pomacentridae.
UGGCCAAUCAGAUUCCUCGUACUUCUGGUAAAGCCAUAACACAACGUUAACACAACUGGUUAAGGGAUGAGAGCAAACGAAGGAAAAGUAGCAUGGCUGAAUGGUACAGGUGUCUGUCUGUGGAGAAGUCAGAGACUGUCACUACACAACCAGGUAGAAUGGUGAAAUGCAGGUAAGCAAGGUGUGUAACAUCAACUUAACUAUAAUUAUAAGGACAAUGUAGAUUAAGAAAUGUCAAACCAACCUAUGCUUGUUGAUGGCCUAAAUGACUGGGUUCCAUGCCAUCCUCCUCUGAGUCACUGCUGUCUGAUGUGCAGGUUCAUCCUGGAUGACCUCUUCAGCAGUUAGCUCCUCUACAUAGACAAAGUCAUUUCUGGCUGCUUUAAGGAAUUUAAGGCAUGGAUGGGACUUAGGAAGCCUUGAUUUUAAGCUAAAUGCUUUAUAAGUCUAAAUGUCCAGUCCUUCCUUAUCUCUAACAAUUUCCUUAAAGAGGUCAUUUAGCCGUGAAAGCCUCAACACUUCACGGUUUGCCAGUAGGCGCUCUUCCACCACUGUCUGUAGCCUGCCUGAUACGGAUUUGCCUCUACAGAAACCUCUCUUUGUUCCUCUCAGGUAUCUUGUGUAAUUUGCUAAUCAACUGUGGUGAUAAAUGGCCUCUUCCACGGAUUUGAAGCAACAGGUGCUCAUCCUUCUUCCCCUCAGCAGCACGAAGGAGUUGAUCUGCUGUGGCAUGCAACAGGCAGGAGGUGUGGAGCCCUUUUGGGUUGUUCUGGGCCACUUGAAGAGCGCAGAACCCGAACCUUGGAUGCAGCACCAUCACUGGUAUCUGGCAGCGGUUCUUCUGAACAUUGUAAUGGCACUAAAAUGUAAGUUAAAAGUGCUCAAUAAAUGGAAAUGAUCUAAAUUAACAUUGUUUCUAACAUUUGUAAAUAAUAAAAAAAAAAACAUA